AGAGUUUGAUCCUGGCUCAGAUUGAACGCUGGCGGCAGGCCUAACACAUGCAAGUCGAGCGGUAGAGAGAAGCUUGCUUCUCUUGAGAGCGGCGGACGGGUGAGUAAUGCCUAGGAAUCUGCCUGGUAGUGGGGGAUAACGUUCGGAAACGGACGCUAAUACCGCAUACGUCCUACGGGAGAAAGCAGGGGACCUUCGGGCCUUGCGCUAUCAGAUGAGCCUAGGUCGGAUUAGCUAGUUGGUGGGGUAAUGGCUUACCAAGGCGACGAUCCGUAACUGGUCUGAGAGGAUGAUCAGUCACACUGGAACUGAGACACGGUCCAGACUCCUACGGGAGGCAGCAGUGGGGAAUAUUGGACAAUGGGCGAAAGCCUGAUCCAGCCAUGCCGCGUGUGUGAAGAAGGUCUUCGGAUUGUAAAGCACUUUAAGUUGGGAGGAAGGGUUGUAGAUUAAUACUCUGCAAUUUUGACGUUACCGACAGAAUAAGCACCGGCUAACUCUGUGCCAGCAGCCGCGGUAAUACAGAGGGUGCAAGCGUUAAUCGGAAUUACUGGGCGUAAAGCGCGCGUAGGUGGUUUGUUAAGUUGGAUGUGAAAUCCCCGGGCUCAACCUGGGAACUGCAUUCAAAACUGACUGACUAGAGUAUGGUAGAGGGUGGUGGAAUUUCCUGUGUAGCGGUGAAAUGCGUAGAUAUAGGAAGGAACACCAGUGGCGAAGGCGACCACCUGGACUAAUACUGACACUGAGGUGCGAAAGCGUGGGGAGCAAACAGGAUUAGAUACCCUGGUAGUCCACGCCGUAAACGAUGUCAACUAGCCGUUGGAAGCCUUGAGCUUUUAGUGGCGCAGCUAACGCAUUAAGUUGACCGCCUGGGGAGUACGGCCGCAAGGUUAAAACUCAAAUGAAUUGACGGGGGCCCGCACAAGCGGUGGAGCAUGUGGUUUAAUUCGAAGCAACGCGAAGAACCUUACCAGGCCUUGACAUCCAAUGAACUUUCCAGAGAUGGAUUGGUGCCUUCGGGAACAUUGAGACAGGUGCUGCAUGUCUGUCGUCAGCUCGUGUCGUGAGAUGUUGGGUUAAGUCCCGUAACGAGCGCAACCCUUGUCCUUAGUUACCAGCACGUAAUGGUGGGCACUCUAAGGAGACUGCCGGUGACAAACCGGAGGAAGGUGGGGACGACGUCAAGUCAUCAUGGCCCUUACGGCCUGGGCUACACACGUGCUACAAUGGUCGGUACAGAGGGUUGCCAAGCCGCGAGGUGGAGCUAAUCCCAUAAAACCGAUCGUAGUCCGGAUCGCAGUCUGCAACUCGACUGCGUGAAGUCGGAAUCGCUAGUAAUCGCGAAUCAGAAUGUCGCGGUGAAUACGUUCCCGGGCCUUGUACACACCGCCCGUCACACCAUGGGAGUGGGUUGCACCAGAAGUAGCUAGUCUAACCUUCGGGAGGACGGUUACCACGGUGUGAUUCAUGACUGGGGUGAAGUCGUAACAAGGUAACC
RNAcentral lists this ribosomal RNA (1498 nucleotides) under uncultured bacterium. RNAcentral's name for it is "bacterial SSU rRNA". It matches the Rfam family "Bacterial small subunit ribosomal RNA". The record is from RNAcentral.